UGGGGAAUAUUGCACAAUGGGCGAAAGCCUGAUGCAGCGACGCCGCGUGAGGGAUGGAGGCCUUCGGGUUGUAAACCUCUUUCAGUAAGGGUGAAGGCUCUCUUUUGUGGAGGGUUGACAGUACUUGCAGAAGAAGCGCCGGCUAACUACGUGCCAGCAGCCGCGGUAAUACGUAGGGCGCGAGCGUUGUCCGGAAUUAUUGGGCGUAAAGGGCUUGUAGGUGGCGUGUCGCGUCUGCUGUGAAAUCCUAGGGCUUAACCCUGGACGUGCAGGCGAUACGGGCUGACUUGAGUACUACAGGGGAGACUGGAAUUUCUGGUGUAGCGGUGGAAUGCACAGAUAUCAGGAAGAACACCGAUGGCGAAGGCAGGUCUCUGGGUAGUAACUGACGCUGAGGAGCGAAAGCAUGGGUAGCGAACAGG
This 422-nucleotide ribosomal RNA is filed under the name Verrucomicrobiota bacterium. RNAcentral describes it as "Verrucomicrobia bacterium partial 16S ribosomal RNA". It matches the Rfam family "Bacterial small subunit ribosomal RNA", at positions 355 to 776 of the family's 1533-position model. Lineage: Bacteria; Pseudomonadati; Verrucomicrobiota. The record is from RNAcentral.